UACAAAUCUGCUACCCUACUGUGAAU
RNAcentral lists this non-coding RNA (26 nucleotides) under Rattus norvegicus (Norway rat). The record is from RNAcentral. Lineage: Eukaryota; Metazoa; Chordata; Mammalia; Rodentia; Muridae.